UUUGUUCUCUGCCUCCAAGACCUUCUUCAAGCAAAAUGGAGAGAUGGGUUUGGGCAUAUUUUCUCUUCAUUGCAGCUCUAAUGGCUGCUUCUUGUAUACCAUCCGAAUCAGCUAUCUCUAAAGGGUCUUUUGAAGACAAUUUCAGUAUUAUGUGGUCAGAGGAGCAUUUCAAAACUUCUGAAGAUGGUCAGAUCUGGUACCUCUCAUUGGACAAGGAAACAGGUUGUGGGUUUCAAACAAAGCAGAGAUACAGAUUUGGGUGGUUUAGUAUGAAGCUAAAACUGGUUGGAGGUGAUUCAGCUGGUGUAGUGACAGCUUAUUAUGUGAGUCUUUCUUGAUAUAUGUACAACCAGAUAAAGCAUUCAAGAAUCCAAGAAAGUUUCAAUUUUGCCUUCCAAUGCUUAUAAUGCUUUAACUUUUGAAAAUUUUAUUGUUGAGAUCUUUGAGGACUUGCUUGAUAUUGAAAAUGGAAAAAUGAAUGCAGAUGUGCUCAGAGAAUGGGGCAGGACCAACAAGGGAUGAGUUGGAUUUUGAGUUCUUGGGGAAUAGAACCGGACAGCCAUAUUUGAUACAGACAAACGUAUACAAAAAUGGAACUGGUAGGCGUGAGAUGAGGCACAUGCUUUGGUUCGAUCCUACCGAGGAUUUUCACACCUAUUCCAUCCUCUGGAAUAACCACCAGAUUGUGCAAGUUAAUAUUCAAUUUUCAGGAAGUGAAAGUUUCAUUUCAGGACAGUUAACUGAGUUAAAUUUCCAUUAAAUAUUAGGUUCUUUAUAGAUAGAGUUCCCAUAAGAGUGCACAAGAACAAUGGAGAGACUAACAAUUUCUUCCCCAACAAGAAGCCCAUGUACCUAUUCUCGAGCAUUUGGAAUGCAGAUGAGUGGGCCGCAAGAUGUGGGCUAGAGAAGACAGACUGGAAAAACGCUCCAUUUGUGUCCUCUUAUAAGGACUUCAAUGUGGAUGGUUGCCAAUGGGAAGACCCGUACCCUGCUUGCGUAUCAACCACCACCAAGAACUGGUGGGAUCAAUAUCAAGCUUGGCACCUUUCAGAUUCUCAGAAAAUGGACUAUGCUUGGGUCCAGAGAAACCUUGUCAUCUAUGAUUAUUGCAAAGACAUUGAGAGAUACCCAACACUGCCAGUUGAGUGCUCUUUGAGCCCAUGGGCUUGAAAUUGACAACCAUGUGAUAGAUCUUCAAUUUUUCCUUUUCUUUUAUUAUUUUUAUUCUUUUUAUUUAUAUAUUUUGAGAUGAGUUUAAAUUGUGUAUUUUUGUCCAAUCUUUUGUAUUGCAUUUGUUUAAAAAUAAAUUCUCUUAAUUAAA
RNAcentral lists this unclassified non-coding RNA (1321 nucleotides) under Hevea brasiliensis (rubber tree). The record is from RNAcentral. Lineage: Eukaryota; Viridiplantae; Streptophyta; Magnoliopsida; Malpighiales; Euphorbiaceae.